GACGGAGGGUGCUAGCGUUGUUCGGAAUGACUGGGCGUAAAGGGCGCGUAGGCGGCCGCUUGCGUCGGAUGCGAAAGCCCGGGGCUCAACCCCGGAACGGCAUCCGAUACGGGGCGGCUCGAGACCGAGAGAGGUGAGUGGAAUACCCAGUGUAGAGGUGAAAUUCGUAGAUAUUGGGUGGAACACCGGUGGCGAAAGCGGCUCACUGGCUCGGUUCUGACGCUGAGGCGCGAAAGCGUGGGGAGCAAACAGG
This 253-nucleotide ribosomal RNA is filed under the name uncultured bacterium. Its description in RNAcentral is "partial 16S ribosomal RNA". It matches the Rfam family "Bacterial small subunit ribosomal RNA", at positions 524 to 776 of the family's 1533-position model. The record is from RNAcentral.